UAUUAAUAUAAAGAUCUCCAAUCUUAGAAAAUCAUUCAUUUGUGCAACGACAACUUUGAGUAACGAUCAAAUCUUCUUUAAAACUAACAAUGGGAUGCACAUGUAAAAGAUUGUUCUUCAUAACUGGACUUAUUAUUAUGGAAUUGGUUGACCUUGGUCUAGACUGGGACUUUUUCGUUGAAGUAAAUAAAACGGACCAAGAGAAAAUACAAAGAAAUUAUGAAUUGAAAUAUUCAAUCCUAGCAUUUGCAAUUAUUGGAUCAGUUACGUUUAUACUUCAACUAGUGGCUAUAUAUUAUGAUUCUAAGAAGAAUUACUCGCAUUUGACGUACUCAACAACGAUGUCAUUCAUUUCAACGUGGUUUGAAGAUGUCCCACAAAUUGUGCUGGCUAUUUGGGUAGCAAUCAUUUCAUCUGAUCUGAUAUCCAAUGUACAAUAUAUAAAAGCAGCAUAUGCAAUCUUAGAAGCCGUGAUUCAUUUUGGAGUUUCGAUUUGGCAAUUGCGUUGUAAGAGUGAAAAGUUCAAAUAUAAAAGAAAUAGCAGUUGUCUCAAGAAAUUACUCGUCCUUGAUCUUAUUGGCGGCAUCCUUCUUCUCGGAGCUUCCAUAUUCCUUCUGAUAGAACUACUCCUCGACAAUUAUAAUUGAUACCAGUUUGUGUUCAUAAUUAUAGUAAGGAUUAAUACUUUAUCAACAUUAUGUUUAUGUUAUCAGACGUUGUGGCUUAUAUUUUUUAUUUAUAUUUAUUUUAUGUCGAUAAAAUAUGUGAAGUUUUUAUUUAUAUUUAUUUCAUGUUUGGAAAUAUGUGAAGUGUUUUUUGUAGUUAUUUUGAUAAUAAAUGAUGUAUUUAUUUA
This is a long non-coding RNA of Mytilus trossulus (common blue mussel), 853 nucleotides long. RefSeq lists it as uncharacterized. The record is from RefSeq and is a predicted model, not a curated record. NCBI's taxonomy places the organism in Eukaryota, Metazoa, Mollusca, Bivalvia, Mytilida, Mytilidae. The transcript has 2 exons.